Sinocyclocheilus anshuiensis is the source of this 124-nucleotide long non-coding RNA. RefSeq lists it as uncharacterized. The record is from RefSeq and is a predicted model, not a curated record. The transcript has 3 exons. Lineage: Eukaryota; Metazoa; Chordata; Actinopteri; Cypriniformes; Cyprinidae.
UGUCAUGUCUUGUCACGCCACAUCCAGUGUAGCAUCACUGGUUAUAAUGAGUUCUAUAGUAUUUUGUCGUAUCGCGCCGCGCCACUCACGUCGGGUAGACAGGGUAUAACAUUGCUUUUGCUUU